RNAcentral lists this ribosomal RNA (1151 nucleotides) under 'Citrus aurantifolia' phytoplasma. Its description in RNAcentral is "bacterial SSU rRNA". It matches the Rfam family "Bacterial small subunit ribosomal RNA", at positions 214 to 1372 of the family's 1533-position model. The record is from RNAcentral. Lineage: Bacteria; Bacillati; Mycoplasmatota; Mollicutes; Acholeplasmatales; Acholeplasmataceae.
UAUACUUUAGGAGGGGCUUGCGCCAUAUUAGUUAGUUGGUAGGGUAAUGGCCUACCAAGACGAUGAUGUGUAGCUGGACUGAGAGGUUGAACAGCCACAUUGGGACUGAGACACGGCCCAAACUCCUACGGGAGGCAGCAGUAGGGAAUUUUCGGCAAUGGAGGAAACUCUGACCGAGCAACGCCGCGUGAACGACGAAGUACUUUGGUAUGUAAAGUUCUUUUAUCAAGGAAGAAAAGCAAGUGGUGAACCAUUUGUUUGCCGGUACUUGAUGAAUAAGCCCCGGCUAAUUAUGUGCCAGCAGCCGCGGUAAGACAUAAGGGGCAAGUGUUAUCCGGAAUUAUUGGGCGUAAAGGGUGCGUAGGCGGUCUAGUAAGUCAGUGGUGUAAUGGCAACGCUCAACGUUGUCCGGCUAUUGAAACUGCUAAACUUGAGUUAGAUAGAGGCGAGUGGAAUUCCAUGUGUAGCGGUAAAAUGCGUAAAUAUAUGGAGGAACACCAGAGGCGUAGGCGGCUCGCUGGGUCUUAACUGACGCUGAGGCACGAAAGCGUGGGGAGCAAACAGGAUUAGAUACCCUGGUAGUCCACGCCGUAAACGAUGAGUACUAAGUGUCGGGUUAAACCGGUACUGAAGUUAACACAUUAAGUACUCCGCCUGAGUAGUACGUACGCAAGUAUGAAACUUAAAGGAAUUGACGGGACUCCGCACAAGCGGUGGAUCAUGUUGUUUAAUUCGAAGAUACCCGAAAAACCUUACCAGGUCUUGACAUGUUUUUGCGAAACGGUAGUAAUAUCGUGGAGGUUAUCAGAAACACAGGUGGUGCAUGGUUGUCGUCAGCUCGUGUCGUGAGAUGUUAGGUUAAGUCCUAAAACGAGCGAAACCCUUAUCGUUAGUUGCCAGCACGUUAUGGUGGGGACUUUAACGAGACUGCCAGUGAUAAAUUGGAGGAAGGUGAGGAUCACGUCAAAUCAGCAUGCCCCUUAUGACCUGGGCUACAAACGUGAUACAAUGGCUGUUACAAAGGGUAGCUGAAACGCAAGUUCUUGGCCAAUCCCCAAAAACAGUCUCAGUCCGGAUUGAAGUCUGCAACUCGACUUCAUGAAGUUGGAAUCGCUAGUAAUCGCGAAUCAGCAUGUCGCGGUGAAUACGUU